RNAcentral lists this unclassified non-coding RNA (379 nucleotides) under uncultured Rhodanobacteraceae bacterium. RNAcentral describes it as "contains 16S-23S intergenic spacer region". The record is from RNAcentral. Lineage: Bacteria; Pseudomonadati; Pseudomonadota; Gammaproteobacteria; Lysobacterales; Rhodanobacteraceae.
UCCGGUUUGUCACCGGCAGUCCCCUUAGAGUUCCCACCAUUACGUGCUGGCAAAUAAGGGCAAGGGUUGCGCUCGUUGCGGGACUUAACCCAACAUCUCACGACACGAGCUGACGACAGCCAUGCAGCACCUGUCUCAUGGUUCCUUGCGGCACUCCCAUAUCUCUACAGGAUUCCAUGGAUGUCAAGACCAGGUAAGGUUCUUCGCGUUGCAUCGAAUUAAACCACAUACUCCACCGCUUGUGCGGGCCCCCGUCAAUUCCUUUGAGUUUCACGCUUGCGCGCAUACUCCCCAGGCGGAUCACUUCACGCGUUAGCUUCGACACUAAGAGGCUGAUUCCUCCCAACGUCCAGUGAUCAUCGUUUAGGGCGUGGACUAC